This 174-nucleotide transfer RNA is filed under the name Halopenitus malekzadehii. It matches the Rfam family "tRNA". Rfam says of the family: Transfer RNA (tRNA) molecules are approximately 80 nucleotides in length. Their secondary structure includes four short double-helical elements and three loops (D, anti-codon, and T loops). Further hydrogen bonds mediate the characteristic L-shaped molecular structure. tRNAs have two regions of fundamental functional importance: the anti-codon, which is responsible for specific mRNA codon recognition, and the 3' end, to which the tRNAs corresponding amino acid is attached (by aminoacyl-tRNA synthetases). tRNAs cope with the degeneracy of the genetic code in two manners: having more than one tRNA (with a specific anti-codon) for a particular amino acid; and 'wobble' base-pairing, i.e. permitting non-standard base-pairing at the 3rd anti-codon position. The record is from Rfam by way of RNAcentral. Lineage: Archaea; Methanobacteriati; Methanobacteriota; Halobacteria; Halobacteriales; Haloferacaceae.
GGGGCUGUGGCCAAGCCAGGCAUGGCGACUGACUCCAGAGGUGACGCCCGGUGACGAACUCCAGACUGAUAUACCGAGCGGGCGACUGAUCAUCGCCCGUGUUGACGACGUUCUGGAGUACCGAGGCAAACCGGAGAUAUCAGUCGAUCGGGGGUUCAAAUCCCUCCGGCCCCA